UGGGGAAUAUUGCACAAUGGGCGAAAGCCUGAUGCAGCGACGCCGCGUGAGGGAUGACGGCCUUCGGGUUGUAAACCUCUUUCAGUAGGGACGAAGCGCAAGUGACGGUACCUGCAGAAGAAGCACCGGCUAACUACGUGCCAGCAGCCGCGGUAAUACGUAGGGUGCGAGCGUUGUCCGGAAUUACUGGGCGUAAAGAGCUCGGAGGCGGUUUGUCACGUCGUCUGUGAAAUCCUAGGGCUUAACCCUGGACGUGCAGGCGAUACGGGCUGACUUGAGUACUACAGGGGAGACUGGAAUUUCUGGUGUAGCGGUGGAAUGCACAGAUAUCAGGAAGAACACCGAUGGCGAAGGCAGGUCUCUGGGUAGUAACUGACGCUGAGGAGCGAAAGCAUGGGUAGCGAACAGG
RNAcentral lists this ribosomal RNA (409 nucleotides) under bacterium. RNAcentral's name for it is "partial 16S ribosomal RNA". It matches the Rfam family "Bacterial small subunit ribosomal RNA", at positions 355 to 776 of the family's 1533-position model. The record is from RNAcentral.